Molecule: ribosomal RNA, 501 nt
Filed under: uncultured Glomus
Lineage: Eukaryota; Fungi; Glomeromycota; Glomeromycetes; Glomerales; Glomeraceae
Description: SSU rRNA
Rfam family: Eukaryotic small subunit ribosomal RNA
Source: RNAcentral
AGCAGCCGCGGUAAUUCCAGCUCCAAUAGCGUAUAUUAAAGUUGCUGCAGUUAAAAAGCUCGUAGUUGAAUUUCGGGACCAUCAUGUCGGUCGUGCCUCGGUACGUACUGGCAUUGUUGGUUUCUCCCUUCUGAAGAACCAUGAUGUCAUUAAUUUGGUGUCAUGGGGAAUCAGGACUGUUACUUUGAAAAAUUAGAGUGUUUAAAGCAGGCUCGCGCUUGAAUACAUUAGCAUGGAAUAAUGAAAUAGGACGUUUGAUUCUAUUUUGUUGGUUUCUAGGAUCGACGUAAUGAUUAAUAGGGAUAGUUGGGGGCAUUAGUAUUCAAUUGUCAGAGGUGAAAUUCUUGGAUUUAUUGAAGACUAACUACUGCGAAAGCAUUUGCCAAGGAUGUUUUCAUUAAUCAAGAACGAAAGUUAGGGGACCGAAGACGAUCAGAUACCGUCGUAGUCUUAACCAUAAACUAUGCCGACUAGGGAUCGGAUGAUGUUAAUUUUUAANGA